GACGAACGCUGGCGGCGUGCUUAACACAUGCAAGUCGAACGGGAUCCAUCGCCGUAGCUUGCUACAUGAUGGGUCUAGUGGCGAACGGGUGAGUAACACGUGGGCAACCUGCCCUGAAGACCGGGACAACACGGGGAAACCCGUGCUAAUACCGGAUAACCUGCCUUUCCCGCAUGGCAUCGGUAGAAAAAGGAAGUUUACUUCCGCUUCAGGAUGGGCCCGCGCCCCAUUAGCUUGUCGGUGAGGUAAAAGCUCACCGAGGCGACGAUGGGUAGCCGGCCUGAGAGGGUGAACGGCCACACUGGGACUGAGAUACGGCCCAGACUCCUACGGGUGGCUG
This 340-nucleotide ribosomal RNA is filed under the name uncultured Actinomycetes bacterium. RNAcentral describes it as "bacterial SSU rRNA". It matches the Rfam family "Bacterial small subunit ribosomal RNA", at positions 28 to 351 of the family's 1533-position model. Lineage: Bacteria; Bacillati; Actinomycetota; Actinomycetes. The record is from RNAcentral.